GUGAACGCUGGCGGUAGGCCUAACACAUGCCAGUCGCACGGCAGCACAGUAAGAGCUUGCUCUUACGGGUGGCGAGUGGCGGACGGGUGAGGAAUACAUCGGAAUCUACUUUUUCGUGGGGGAUAACGUAGGGAAACUUACGCUAAUACCGCAUACGACCUACGGGUGAAAGCAGGGGAUCUUCGGACCUUGCGCGAUUGAAUGAGCCGAUGUCGGAUUAGCUAGUUGGCGGGGUAAAGGCCCACCAAGGCGACGAUCCGUAGCUGGUCUGAGAGGAUGAUCAGCCACACUGGAACUGAGACACGGUCCAGACUCCCACGGGAGGCAGCAGUGGGGAAUAUUGGACAAUGGGCGCAAGCCUGAUCCAGCCAUACCGCGUGGGUGAAGAAGGCCUUCGGGUUGUAAAGCCCUUUUGUUGGGAAAGAAAAGCAGCAGGUUAAUACCCCGCUGUUCUGACGGUACCCAAAGAAUAAGCACCGGCUAACUUCGUG
Molecule: ribosomal RNA, 491 nt
Filed under: uncultured bacterium
Lineage: Bacteria
Description: partial 16S ribosomal RNA
Rfam family: Bacterial small subunit ribosomal RNA
Source: RNAcentral